This 448-nucleotide ribosomal RNA is filed under the name uncultured bacterium. RNAcentral's name for it is "partial 16S ribosomal RNA". It matches the Rfam family "Bacterial small subunit ribosomal RNA", at positions 329 to 793 of the family's 1533-position model. The record is from RNAcentral.
UACCAGACUCCUACGGGAGGCAGCAGUGGGGAAUAUUGCACAAUGGGGGGAACCCUGAUGCAGCGACGCCGCGUGGGCGAGGAAGUAUUUCGGUAUGUAAAGCCCUAUCGGCAGGGAAGAAGGAGGACGGUAUCUGACUAAGAAGCCCCGACUAACUACGUGCCAGCAGCCGCGGUAAUACGUAGGGGGCAAGCGUUAUCCGGAUUUACUGGGUGUAAAGGGAGCGUAGACGGCUAUGCAAGUCUGGAGUGAAAGGCGGGGGCCCAACCCCCGGACUGCUCUGGAAACUGUAGAGCUAGAGUGCAGGAGAGGUAAGUGGAAUUCCUAGUGUAGCGGUGAAAUGCGUAGAUAUCAGGAGGAACACCAGUGGCGAAGGCGGCUUGCUGGACGAUGACUGACGUUGAGGCUCGAAAGCGUGGGGAGCAAACAGGAUUAGAUACCCUGGUAA